Cinara cedri is the source of this 305-nucleotide non-coding RNA. Lineage: Eukaryota; Metazoa; Arthropoda; Insecta; Hemiptera; Aphididae. The record is from the annotation of a GenBank genome assembly.
CGAACUCUGCAUUUCUGAAAGCCAAAUUUUGGAAAAUUCACCAAUCCUCCUUGCAUUACUGAACUAGAAAGCUAGAAAAAUAUUCAAAGACAAUGGUCUCUCAAAACAUUCACCACGUCACUGAUUAUACAUAUAUCUCAACAAUUAGUUCUUCUAUAUGUGUAGGUUUCCAGGUUUUAGUGAGUAAGUAAAGAGUAACAUUAACUUUUUGAGGCCCACGUACAAGAAUUUAUUUUUAGGCCUCUGACUUAAAGUACUGGAGUACUGUACUCGAAUUGAUUUAAAAUUCAACAAAUUAUUAACUU